CCUCCCGUCCUCCACUCCCGAACGCCCCAGCCAUCGCGCGAGCUCCUUUCCUUCGCUCUCUUUCUCUCCUUCCUUCCUUCCUUCCUUUCCUCCUUUCUUGCUUGCUCUCCUUCUCCGUUCCACGGCGCAGCGCUGCUGUUCAAAUGGGUCGGCCGUGCGCGCACACGCACACGUAACGGCUUCGCCUUUUUAUCGUACAUUUCACCUUUCUACUUUGCAAUCAAGCACUUUCAUAUUGCUUUCACUUGGUCGAUGAAAGUAUCGUCCGCGAGCCAAGUAGGCGAGCCGUUCGUUUAUACAAGGUGACCGAGAAGAAACUUUGUAUUUUACGUUUCUUUCUUUCCUUUUUUUUUUCUUCUUCUAAUUUAAAGCAAAACUUUAAAUUUUCUCCUCCGAUUUUGAUUAAAUCGUUGCGUUUCGCUUCCACUCGAUUCCUAAGAUUUAUAGAUAAGAUAAGAUAAUCGGUUUCUUUUUCUUUCUUUCCCAUUUUAUCCCACUCUCAACGAUGAUUUCCAACGGUUUUAAUAACCGAGAAUUAAUUAAUACGCGGUUAAAAAAAAAACGAUAAACUUUUCUAAUUUGUAUGUAUGUACAUGAAAAAUCGUGAUAAUAUGAGUCACUCGUAAUUAUAGAACGUAAUUAACUUACUUAUUAUUAUUACGCGAUUAUAUUUAUGUCAGUUCGAUUAGAAAUAAAGGAAAAAGAAAAAAACGUAUCGUUGUAUGCAAAACUUUCUUUUUUUCUCGAGGCUACGAAAGUUUAUCGAAAUUCAUAUAUAUAUAUAUAUAUUAUGUGUGCGUUUGUGUGUAGGAAUAGGUGUGAAAUAUCACGACGAAUAAUUUCGUACAUGCUCUCUCGAACAUCCAUCCGAUACGAAUGGAAGCCGCCGUGUAACUGCGUACGGGCGAAACGUUACGUAUACAUUUUUCGUCCUCGAAAUUCGGAGGUCGAUAAACUUGUUUACGUAGCACAUGCCCCACCACCGCAUGCCCCAACCUUCUCGCGUAAUAGAUCGUGUCCUCUAUUCGAUCGCGAGACUCGUUACUAAUAAACACCAGAUAAGAGGAAGGUAAAUUAGGGGAGCUCGGUGCAUCGCUCCGUCACGUUUCGUUUAUCGAUCCGAUGCAUCGCCAAUUAGAUUACUAAUCCUGCGCGACCAUACGUUUCUCGACGAUACGUAUUAACCGCGAAAGUUUAUUAAUAAACGAGAAGUUUAAUUGCUUGGUGAUAAUAAUUAUUAACCUUAAUUAAAUGUGUGUAACCUUCUACGAAAGAAAGUAUGAAAAUAAAAAGAGAAGUUUACACGAUAAGUUUUUUCAAUAAAUUCCUUCCUUUGCAAAAUUUCUUUUUUUCUAAUAAAAAAAAAGGAAAGAAAAAAGGGAGAAGCGGAAAUGUUUAGAUAAAUCGCGAUUGUUGCCCCCUUUUUUUUUGUUCCAUUUAAUUUGCGUUCGAUUCACGGAUUAAAACGACAAUAUCCGGAUAUUAUAGACGGAACGAUUCGAUUACACGGGGACGUGGGCCAACGUUUAAUUCGACAACAACGGCGUCGCGCAAAGCCAAUUAAUUAACACUACGUCGCUAAUAAACGACACCCGUGAAAUUCGCUUGGGAAUCGAAUUAGAUAUCCCGUUGGAUCGACUCUGCGCAGAGUUCAACUUUCGCGUUGAUUGCUCGCGUUGCAGAAAGCGAGUGUGCCUCGGAGGACGAUUCUUGCGACGAAUCAAAACUGCGAGGAACACGUUUACGCAGCCUUUUACUCAACGAAAACGUUAUAUCCAAUAGGGAUGGUUCGAAAUUCUCCGCGAUGCAAAUGCCACGUUAUCCACGAAUAUCGCGUCAUCGCGGAUAAUGUAACACGGCCAAAUACCGUUUCGUUAUUAUUAAUAAUCCGCUACGGCUGAUUCACGUAGUGACGCAAAUGUCGCUAAUCACCCGUUGUAUACAACCAAUCGUUCGCCUCUUGGUUACGGUCUGCUCGCAAAGAAAACCAUUUACUCGCGGUAUUAUUUUUCCACCGCAGAAAACGGGGGAAUAAUUGGAAAAUUAUCUACAAGUCUUUCCCCCCUUUCCUAUCCAGGUGACUAAGCCUCCGACAUUCUUUCCUGUCUUCUUUUAAUUAUCUUUCCAGCCUCGUUGUAUCUCUCGAAAAAUAAUGUCGAAAUAUCUUUCUCCGCAUCGAAAUAAAUUUCCAGAUACCGUUUCUUCGCGGUACCGAACGAUCGAGAAUUUCUCGCGUGAGUUACCGAACGUGUCGAAUUCGUGUCUUUCGGACUCGAAAAGAAGCAAAGAUCCUAUUCUUCGUAUUUUUCUUUAUCUCUCGCGUUAAUCUAUAUCGGACGGUUUCAUCGACGGUUUCGAGCGUCGCUGAAACUGUCCGCGCAUGCGCGUCCAUCUGGCAUCGCUGUUUUGGAGAAGGGUGGGGAGCUGCGCACGCGGGCAAUUGAAAUGCAGGCGCACACGCUAUCUAAAACAUUCGCACGCGCAAUCCGGAUUACACCUGCAUCGUCACUAUUACUUGAACAGUUACACUUUCUCCUCCCCGACGUGUGUCCGAGGAAGAGAGAGAGAGAGAGAGAAAGCACUCGUAGUAGAACGGGAAAAUUAUGGUUGAAACGAGCUCCUCUUACCGGCGCGUUCAUCAUUCCAAAUGUCCAACUCUCUCCCUCCCCUCCCCUCCUUCUCCGCGCGGCGAUGUUGCGAACGAGCAUCGGCGUCGGAUGAAAAUAAUUCUUAGAUAAUACGGCAAGUUUCGCUCAACUUUGCGUUUCCAUAACCGAUCGCGAAUACAUUACGAAAGUGGCCGUGCGUAGAAAUCGAUCGACUCGAAUCGCGAUUUUUCGACUCCGAUUUUCCAUAUUUUAUUUCGCCCGAUCGAAUUAAAUCGAGAUAAGAUUUCGAGAUAAUUCCCGGAUAUCAUAUCGUGUCUGGAAAGAUAAAACGGCGAAAUAAUCGAGUUCGAUGGCGAUGAUGACGAGCUGAUGCAUAAUGCAUCGGCCGCUUUCUUGCGAAUCGUUGCAAACUCGAAGAUAACCGGCGUGUUACAUGUAAUUAUGAAUCACUCUGUUUGUUUCGUAUAAAACGCGAGUUUCAUAAAUUACACUUAAUAUUACGUCCACCACCUCCGAUGAAACUUUCAUUUUUCAUCAUUUCAACCAACGAUCCAGACCUCCCUUCCCUUCCAUUCUUCUCGAUCGAAAAGUCGAGUCGAAAAUUUCCCGGCGAGAGGAGGAAUCUCGAAGCCGAGGCUUGGACGAACAAUAACACGGGAGACAUUUAAUCGAAAGACAUCUGACCGUGGCGAGAAACCGGUCGAGCGCCAGGAUUUCGAAACGUGGAAGAAAGCUCGGCUCAAUCGAGAUAUCGAGGUCCCUUCGCGGCCUUCAAGAGGCGAUAAACGAGAGAAACGAGGUUUGGAAUCGUGAUUACGUUGCAACGCAAAUUUCCGUAUCGAUCCUGCACGUCAGAAGGCACGAAGAUUCGUUCAACCGGCGAGGCCGGGUGAGAACAAGCUUACAUAAAAAGUGAAGGUGACCGGCGGUGAUUCAUGGGGGCUGAUGCCCUCGUUGUCUGGCAUUCGGUUUAUAGAGGACGGAGGUGGAGCAAGAGGUGGAGGGUCCUUGCAACAGACUCGUCCAAGUGGCGCUCGCUUCACUCGGUCUACGACUCUUUGUUUUUCGUUAGCCGAAAUUAAGCUUUGUUUAUCUCCUAUCUCUCGUAAUUCUAUCGAAAUAAACAUUUUCUUCCC
This is a long non-coding RNA of Apis cerana (Asiatic honeybee), 3745 nucleotides long. RefSeq lists it as uncharacterized. NCBI's taxonomy places the organism in Eukaryota, Metazoa, Arthropoda, Insecta, Hymenoptera, Apidae. The record is from RefSeq and is a predicted model, not a curated record.